UAAUCUACCCUUGAUGGGGGAUAACUGACCGAAAGGUGAGCUAAUCCCGCAUAACGUUACUUUUCAUAAGUAAAGUACCAAAGGGGGGAUCCUUCGGGACCUCUCGCUUGAGGAUGAGCUUAUGUCCUAUUAGCUUGUUGGUGGGGUAAAAGCCCACCAAGGCUGUGAUGGGUAGCCGAGCUGAGAGGCUGAUCGGCCACACUGGAACUGAGACACGGUCCAG
This 223-nucleotide ribosomal RNA is filed under the name uncultured bacterium. RNAcentral's name for it is "partial 16S ribosomal RNA". It matches the Rfam family "Bacterial small subunit ribosomal RNA", at positions 122 to 334 of the family's 1533-position model. The record is from RNAcentral.